GGAGAGUUUUUCUUUUGCAGGUUUUCUGGCUUCUGGUGUGUGCGAUGGUGAAUGACGAAGAUGAAGGUGCAAUGGUUGCAGAGCCAAAGAAUGAUGGAGCAGGAAGAUGAUGAAUGAAAUUUUCUGCAGAACUCAAAGAUUUUGAUGUUGAACUGGGAUUGUGCAGAAGAAAAGGAAAAAAUGCAGAGUGAAGAAAAAAUAUGGUGAGUAUUUAUAGAAUUUUUUCCAUCUCAAUUCUGUUAGAAAUGUAAGUUAAAUUCACAUUGAAACUCAACCUAAAUUCACUUGAUAGUUAGAAAUGCCUUUUUUGGUUAGCAAGCUGUUAGAAAUUCAUUAGGUUGUUAAAAAUGAAAUGGAAUUCCAAAUGAACGUUAAUUAGGAACUUAAAUUAUAAAGAAUAUUCA
This 404-nucleotide long non-coding RNA is filed under the name Lathyrus oleraceus (garden pea). RNAcentral's name for it is "Pisum sativum (pea) long non-coding RNA (PSAT_LNC025018)". The record is from RNAcentral. Lineage: Eukaryota; Viridiplantae; Streptophyta; Magnoliopsida; Fabales; Fabaceae.